Molecule: ribosomal RNA, 1251 nt
Filed under: Triticum aestivum (bread wheat)
Lineage: Eukaryota; Viridiplantae; Streptophyta; Magnoliopsida; Poales; Poaceae
Description: partial small subunit ribosomal RNA
Source: RNAcentral
AUGGCGCCACUCGCACGCAAGCACCGCAAGGCGUCACCUUCCCCUUCCCCCUCGGAGGCUUCUCCCAAUUCAGGCAGCGACUCUGAACUCCACCUCGAUGACCACUCCGACCCAGAGGACAGCUUCUUCUCCACAAGGAGCGCUGCCGAUGACGACGUCCAGGAUUCCUCCACCAGUGACGAGGAGGAGGAUGACGAUGAGGAGAGCCUCCAUGAGGAGGAGGAUGACGAUGAGGAGAGCCUCCAUGAUGAUGAGGAUGAUGAUGAGGAGAGCCUCCAUGAGGAGGAUGAUGAUGGUGAGAUGGGAGAGCUCGAGCAGCAGUAUCGCACCCUCCAGGCCAAUCAACAAAGCAUUCUUCAAACCCUGAAACAACACAGGGAUGACGAUGUCUCAAGAGGCCAGGCAGUCAAAAACCAAAAGGCGCUAUGGGAUAAGACCCUGGAAAUGAGAUUCUUGCUGCAGAAAGCAUUCUCCACUUCAAACAAGCUUCCCAAGGAUCCAUCCAAGUCAAGGUUCUGCAGUCAUGAUCAGGAGAUAGAGCAAGCAUAUGUUGAUCUGUUGGACUCAUCGAAACAGACUCUCGGUUGCAUGCUGGAGCUGCAGAAGGCUUUACUGGAGCAGAACCAGGCUGCAAAGGGUGCAAAUGACACAUUGCCUGACUCAAAUGGAGAGAGUGACGAGUGGUUGCAAGUACAGAAAUUGCAUACAAGGAUAACCCCUUUCAGAAAUACCGAGAUAGAUAAAUGGCAGAGGAAAACACAGGUCACAACUGGAGCUGCUGCACUGAAAGGAAAGUUGCACGCAUUUAAUCAGAACAUAAGUGACCAAGUUGCUGGUUACAUGAGAGACCCAAGCAGGAUGAUUAACCGGAUGUACUUGAGGAAAUCUGAUGUUGGUGUAUUCGGGGAGAGUGCAGCGGAGCCUGCUACUACCGUUGAGGGGAAGGAUGUGGAAGGUGAUCCUGAACUUAUUGAUGAUUCUGAAUUUUAUCAUCAACUUCUCAAGGAGUUUCUCGAGUCGUGUGAUACAGGAGCAUCUGAGUCUGCAUUUUAUGCUCUGAGGAAGAAGCAGAACAAGAAGAGGAAACUCGUGGAUCGCCGCGCUUCAAAGAGCAGAAAGAUAAGGUACAGUGUUCACGAGAAGAUUGCUAAUUUCAUGGCCCCGGUGCCUAUGACGGUUCCUCCAAUGGCUUCGAAACUGUUUGAGAAUUUGUUUGGAAUGGGCAACCUGCAGAAGUCAGCCGCGGUCUGA